AACGCCGCGUGUGGGAAGAAGGCCUUCGGGUUGUAAACCACUUUUGGCAGGGAAGAAAUGUCGAAUAUUAAUACCAUUCGGCGAUGACGGUACCUGCAGAAUAAGCACCGGCUAACUACGUGCCAGCAGCCGCGGUAAUACGUAGGGUGCAAGCGUUAAUCGGAAUUACUGGGCGUAAAGCGUGCGCAGGCGGUUGGAUAAGACAGGUGUGAAAUUCCCGGGCUCAACCUGGGAACUGCAUUUGUGACUGUUCGACUAGAGUGCGGCAGAGGGGAAGUGGAAUUCCGCGUGUAGCAAGUGAAAUGCGUAGAUAUGCGGAGGAACACCGAUGGCGAAGGCAACUCCCUGGGCCUGCACUGACGCUCAUGCACGAAAGCGUGGGGAGCAAACAGGAUUAGGUACCCUGGUAGUCCACGCCCUAAACGAUGUCGACUAGUUGUUGGACGGGAUACUGUUCAGUAACGUAGCUAUCGCGUGAAGUCGACCGCCUGGGGAGUACGGCCGCAAGGUUAGAACUCAAAGGAAUUGACGGGGACCCGCACAAGCGGUGGAUGAUGUG
Molecule: ribosomal RNA, 559 nt
Filed under: uncultured bacterium
Lineage: Bacteria
Description: bacterial SSU rRNA
Rfam family: Bacterial small subunit ribosomal RNA
Source: RNAcentral